RNAcentral lists this ribosomal RNA (494 nucleotides) under uncultured bacterium. RNAcentral describes it as "partial 16S ribosomal RNA". It matches the Rfam family "Bacterial small subunit ribosomal RNA", at positions 28 to 507 of the family's 1533-position model. The record is from RNAcentral.
GACGAACGCUGGCGGCGUGCUUAACACAUGCAAGUCGAACGGAAAGGCCCGCUUUCCCUUGUGGGUUCCGGGUGCUCGCGUGGCGAACGGGUGAGUAACACGUGCGUUAUCUGCCCCCAACUUGGGUAUAAGCCUGGGCUACUGCGUCUUAUUCCCGCCAGGACCGCAGUGUGGUUCCUAUGGUGGCAAACGAUUUUCUAGGGUUUGGGGCUGAGCUGGCGGCCUGUCAGCUUGUUGUUGGGGUAAUGUCUUACGAAGGCGGGGACGGGUAGCCGGCCUGGGAGGGUGGACGGGCGCAGUGGGACGGAGACACGGCCCAGACGCCUACGGGAAGCAGCAGUGGGGAAGAAGGCGCGAUGGGCGGAAGCCUGAUGCAGCGACGCCGCGUGGGGGAUGACGGCCUUCGGGUUGUAAACUCCUUUCGACCGCGAGGAAGCCACCUGGUUGGAAGGGUGGUGACGGUAGUGGUAGAAGAAGCACCGGCUAACUACGUG